AGUGAACGCUGGCGGUAGGCCUAACACAUGCAAGUCGAACGGCAGCACAGUAAGAGCUUGCUCUUACGGGUGGCGAGUGGCGGACGGGUGAGGAAUACAUCGGAAUCUACUUUUUCGUGGGGGAUAAUGUAGGGAAACUUACGCUAAUACCGCAUACGACCUACGGGUGAAAGCAGGGGAUCUACGGACCUUGCGCGAUUGAAUGAGCCGAUGUCGGAUUAGCUAGUUGGCGGGGUAAAGGCCCACCAAGGCGACGAUCCGUAGCUGGUCUGAGAGGAUGAUCAGCCACACUGGAACUGAGACACGGUCCAGACUCCUACGGGAGGCGGCAGUGGGGAAUAUUGGACAAUGGGCGCAAGCCUGAUCCAGCCAUACCGCGUGGGUGAAGAAGGCCUUCGGGUUGUAAAGCCCUUUUGUUGGGAAAGAAAAGCAGCAGGUUAAUACCCCGCUGUUCUGACGGUACCCAAAGAAUAAGCACCGGCUAACUUCGUG
Molecule: ribosomal RNA, 492 nt
Filed under: uncultured bacterium
Lineage: Bacteria
Description: partial 16S ribosomal RNA
Rfam family: Bacterial small subunit ribosomal RNA
Source: RNAcentral